Molecule: ribosomal RNA, 342 nt
Filed under: Wolbachia sp.
Lineage: Bacteria; Pseudomonadati; Pseudomonadota; Alphaproteobacteria; Rickettsiales; Anaplasmataceae
Description: bacterial SSU rRNA
Rfam family: Bacterial small subunit ribosomal RNA
Source: RNAcentral
UGUUGCAUGGCUGUCGUCAGCUCGUGUCGUGAGAUGUUGGGUUAAGUCCCGCAACGAGCGCAACCCUCGUCCUUAGUUGCCACCAGGUAAUGCUGAGUACUUUAAGGAAACUGCCAGUGAUAAGCUGGAGGAAGGUGGGGAUGAUGUCAAGUCAUCAUGGCCUUUAUGGAGUGGGCUACACACGUGCUACAAUGGUGUCUACAAUGGGUUGCAAGGUGCGCAAGCCUAAGCUAAUCCCUAAAAGACAUCUCAGUUCGGAUUGUACUCUGCAACUCGAGUACAUGAAGUUGGAAUCGCUAGUAAUCGUGGAUCAGCAUGUCACGGUGAAUACGUUCUCGGGUC